GGGGGGGGGAAGCCUGGCUGACAUCACCAAGCAGAGCGAUGGGGAAAAUGGUGAUUUUUUGAGUACUUUUAAGUCACUUUGGUUGGAAAGCAUGACUUUGGGUGAAUUACUGACUUGCCCUAAAAAUAGAUUUAUCCAAACAUUUAAAAAAUGGGGAUGACUUUUUAAUUGUUAGUGGGCAUUUGAUAUUUCAGCUACGUUGGUCAUGGAGCAUGUAUGGUAAUUCUAUAAGACUGCCUAGUGAGUCAGGAACUGGAAUUUCAGAGAAGUCUCUUGAGUGUAUGAGUGACUUGAGAAUGGGACUUCGAUUACAUAACCAGUUUCCUGGAAAACUCUCACUUGAAGCUUUGUGAUGAGACUCUACUUACAACUCCACAAAGCUGUAGGAUAAUUCCUGUAAUGAUGAUGAUGCUGCAGCCCCACUUCCAUCUGCGAGUGCAAGAUGUUUGCUGGUCCAUUCCUUCUGUCCUGGCCCCAACCCCCAGUGAUCCAGUGAUACUUCAGUCUGCCAGUAUUAGCUCUAGGUAGCAACUACAGUUAGAGGCAGUGACAUGCCACAGUUGGCUGAGUCCAUGCUUGCUGGUUGCUGUCUCCCUGCCCUAGUCAGUGGAGAGAGAGAAGCAUAGGAAAAGAUCUUUGAGGGAGCUGUCCCACUGACUGCAUGGGGAUGGGGACUGGGCCUGGCCUUUGGAGAGCCAAGACCUCGUCUGACCUCUGCUGCUCCCUUGGCUUGUAGUGGUGCAGCCUGGGCAAUAGAGGCCCUCACUGACAAAUAAGGGCUCUUGACUUAGAAUACCUUCUAAAACUUGUAGAAAAAGCUGAGUAUCACCAGCAUUCGUAAAGGUAGCAGGAUUAAAAAGAAAGUAAAAUUGAAAAUACAUGGCUAAACUUUUAGAUAAAUCAAUGUAAAAAGCUAGCAGCUUUCCUUUGAUUUCUGGUUGUCUUACAUUCAUUUUCCUUAGCAAUUCUCCUCUUUAAAAAACAAACAAACCAACCAACCAAACAAAAAGAUCUACUUCCCCUUUUCUGGUCAGUGAAGGACAAGAACCCUUACUUUUAACGUAAGAGAGAGAGCCCGUCUCCCUUAUCACAGUGUUCCACUUUACCUGAUGGCACAGUAUUACCAGAAGGCUGCAUUUUAUGGCUUUAUCACAACCUUGCCAUUUCUUUUGAAUGCAUCUGAGUCAGGUGCUUCUGUACGGGAAAGGGGAAGAGUUGCGUAAGCAACAAUAUUAUUAUCAAUAAUAUGCAAAAGCAGAGGCUGUAAUGAUUGCUGAUGAAGCACUAAUUCAUUAAUAAAGCUGCUUUGUGCUUUCCCCCUGUGGCCUUAAAGUUUUUGUUCUCUUUGGGCAUAAUUGUGUUUUCAAGUUACUAGUGAUAAUGCAGAAAUGUUGGCAACUCAGUGAGCAACAGUUGUAGCUUUAUGCUGGAGGAGGAGAAGAAGGACACUGUCUGGGUUUGAUGGGCUAGAAUACAUUAGGAUUGUGUGUUUAUCACUUCAGUCACAGUGUGAUGGCUAAUAAUGUUGACAUUUAAGGUGUGCCCACACAUUGGGCUAUUGAGCUUGUGUUCCUAAGCUCAUUUCCAGUAUGUCUGCUAACAUGUGGAAUAUGCAACUGCAUUUUGUGUGUCAAGCUGUAUUCAAGAUAUCCAUACUGUAUUUUAGUCAAGUACUGUAUCUCAGCUGCAUAAUUAAAAAAUAUAUAUAUCAGUGCCAUAAAGAUCAGAGGUGGAGGAGUCGUACAUGACAACAAUGUGAAAUAAUAAUAACAAUAAAUAAAUGAGAGAGGAAAAUAUAACUCUCAGAUUAUUAUUGGAAAUCACUAAUAAAUGGCCAGUCAUCAAGGGAAAGCUUAGUUUACUUAGAGAUUAAGCUGCAAAAGUGAUGAAGCAAAGAUUUUAGGGCAUCUGGAGAUGACACCUUCCCCAUUUGUAUGGGCUAAAUGUCAGAAGAACACUACCUUCAAGGAGAGCUCUCUUAAUGAAUUUUUCUUACAACACUGUCUUAGUCUGUAUGUAGCUGUUAGGUUAGCAUAACCAAGUAUUAGUAACGUCUAUGUAAGAUAAGCAAAAUAACUGUUCUCUCUGUGAUCAAGUUAGUUUUCUAGACUUUGUCCAUGGAAGAUUCUGACUUAAGUUUCAUUUUUUAACCUUACUUCAGCAGCAGUGUCUUUCUGUUGUAUUUCUUUUAUCUUGAUUCAGCCAAGAUGGACUUACGCUAUCUAUGAUUAUUGUUCAGGCUUUGCAGAUCUGCUCUGUGUAUGAUUUCUCUCUUUCUAAUCUUAUACUUACUAACUACAGUUUGCAAAUAAAUAAGGUUAGAUGCUAGGUCUCCACUGUUACUGCCAUGCAAGUUCUCCAGCUGUCCCUGGGAAGAAAAUUUAAUAAGUUACAGUUGGUUUCAGCUUUGAGUGACAUUGGCAGGAACAGGAGUAGGAGCACUGUAUGGUAACUGCUGAGUCACGGCCUGAACCACUGAUUGAGCACCUGGGAAGAAGACCCGGUCAGCCCUGGGAGCACAGGUGAAGGCAAUUCAUCUGUGUGACCAGAUGGGGUGGAGUCUGGCUGCACCUCUUCUAGACCUCAUUUAAGGGCUGAUCCUCCCUGAGGAGGGAGCUCUUUCUGGAGAUCCCUCCUUAGUGAAGUUUUCCCCUGCAAACCUAGAAUCUUCUGAUACAGGUGACAAAUCGGCAGAAUUCUUUGCAGAGCUAUUAUGGAUGCUGCUGGAAUUUCCUUCAAACAUUUUAGAAGGAUACUUUGAAGAUCUUGUUUUAAACAGGAGAAAAAACACCUGGUUAAAACAUUGGACCUUUGGGUAAAAAAGAACAUGGGUGUCAUUAUUCCUCUUUCACAGAUGAAGGAACUGCAUGCCCAAGAUCAUGCAGCACAGAGAUUUGGAGGGAAUGGCAGAACCAGGAGCAGAAUGCUGCUGUUUUACUCCCAAGCAACAUCCAGCCCACUGGAAAGUAAGCCUAUUAGCAGACCUGCUGUCACUGGUUUCAUAUAAAAAUAUGAAAAAUUCCAACCCCAAAGAUCUGCUGAAAUCAAACUUUUUUUUUUAAAACAAAAACUUCAGUGUUAGAACAGUAUGAGAAAGACAGUUCAGGGCUUGCUGCUACUACAUUAAUAUGUACUAGAGCACAGCUUGAUUGCUUUUUUAAAUUAUUUUUUAAUUGAACAUGCUGGAGAAAGACUAAAGUCAGUAGCAAAUUUACAAUCUGUUCUUCCAAAAUAUUUAGUGUAUCAAAAAUAUGAGAGAAAAAGAGGAGAGGGUGAUAGCUGUACAUGGGCUCCUUAUCUCUGUUGAGAUUUCUGUAAUAAUUUUACAUGCUGUUUGAUCAUAAGCACAAAUUGAAAGUGAAGCUGCAGUUAAGUUUUGGCCAUGGUUAUGGUCCUGGCACUCAGUGUUUUUAGUGAUUAUUUUUUCACCUGCUUGGACUUCUGAGGCUUUAGAGUCCUUAUGCUCUGCGUCAACAGAUUGCAGAUGAGGAAUUGGCUGUAGUCUUUUCCAGCAAAAUCUGUAAUGAUUAUUUCUUUUAUAUGGUUUUUAUUUUGGUAGAAUGCUUAUCUAUUCAAAAGUUAAGGUUCCCAUAGCAAUGUUAACAUGGCCGCAUUGCACAUAUGCAGCAUUUUCAAUAACUGUUAAUUUAUGCUCUGCUAUAUAUUUUAAAUGUGGCUGAAUUACUGUUGCUGUGGGAAACUAAACUUUUAAGCCUUGUGGCUUCUUUGCCUGCUUUAAUGCCCAAUUAUAAAAUUUUGCAGUACAGAAAUGCUGCUAAUACUGAACUCCCUCCUUAGUUUCCUAAGGGUAGUUUAUAUUGGAAAACACUGGGCAAAGUCAAAAGAGAUUCUGAAUGUAUGCAUAUUCCAGUAACGGGUUUAUUCCAGAAACGGUUUGUAUCUCCACCUAAGCCAGUUAUCUAGAACAAGCAGUGGAUGCACAGUGCAAGGCAUGUCCCCAAUUCCUUCAGAAGUCAAGUGCUGGUAUAGCAUACUGCUACCAACCUUUACCUCUGCAGGAUGAGUUGUUGGGUUUAUUUAGGCUUAGACUUCAGCAGCAAUUUUUGACUGUGUUUAUGUACAGGAGAAAGCAUUCAACAGCACCAGUGCUAGCUGCAUAUCCUGUGCUGAGUUUUGUCCGUUAGCAGUAAUAUUUGUAGUAUGCUUUGGAAAUCCCUUGAUGGACUUUGAUUUCCUUCAGUGACUUCUGUAUUUACAAGACCUAGUAGCUAUUAUUCUCAUAAAUUAAAGUGAAUUCUACUUCAAAUGGAGUGGUUGGCAUCUCUGGUUUUGCAAUGAGACCUUCUGUUCUAUGCCUUCUAGUCUCUUUAGGGUUUAAGGAUAUGCCUGCAUGAGAAAAAUUGACUGGCAGGACUGUUCUCUUCUAGCUAUUAGGGUAUAAUUUAGCUGUUCCAGAGUAACUCCCACAUGUGGAUGAAAUAUUCCAAAAUAAAAAUGAUUUUAUUCAGUAACAAUUAUUUCACUUUGGAAAUGGAGUAAUUAUCCUAGAAUAAAAUGAUCACUUCAUUUCCAGGGCAGAAUAAUAGUUACUGAAUCAAAGUUGCUUAUUUUGGACUAGCAUGUGAGCACUGCAGAGCAGUUACUCUACUCAACUCAUCCUCCUUGCUUUUCACAGGCAAAUGAAGUGUUGCUGGUCAUGGUGCGCAGCUGGUGGCCUUGCAGUUGUGCUGGGCAAUGUCUGUGCUGCAAGAGGGGUCUUCGAGUCACAUUGCCAAAGGUUUAAAAACCUUCUUAAUGUAACAAAUCUUAGAGCCCAACAGGUAGUCUUAAAGGUUGGUCUUAGUACAGAUGAUUCUGAUAAAGUUGAUUUAAAUAACGUAUUGCUUAGUACCUUGACACCAGGUUUUAUGAGGUUUUUGAUAGGAACUCUGUUGAUGGAACUUGUCAAGGGCCUUGCGAAACUGAGAACAAAGGCAUGCCUAUGUGAGGUAAGUUGGGCAAUAGAACAAACUACUAACAGAAAGGUAGAUUUGCUCUUUAUUAGGGUCUUAAGAUCAGCAUUUCGAGGUGCUGACACCCUCUCUUGCCAAACCAGAGUGUGCUCCUCAGGAGGAGAGCUGCGUGGGCUCUGCAGCCCCAUGGAGACUGCACAGGCUUAAGGGCGGAGGCCUCCUACUGGGCUCACCCAGAUGUGUGGCUGGGAAAAUGGGCAGGAAGUGCUGGGAUGCCGACACCUGAGGGAAACUUGACAUAUUUCCAGCAUUGGUGCAGUUCAGUGGUGACGACAUACAAUCACUGUCACCUAGGAAAUGAAACACGUUCCCAUGGCAACCUCGAGGCUGCAUUAUUACUCAGCUUCAAAAUGUUGACAGUUCGAAAAAGGCCUCUUCAGAUAACACCCCCCAAGGUGUUGUUUUUUUUUUUCCCCCUUAAUAAAUUUACUUUGUUAUUUAAUCUGAAAUUCAGAAGAAAGACAUAUGUUUAACUGAAGAUGCUUAGUGGAAAUAAACCUUUGGAAAAAAAAAAAAAGCUGAAUGUUUUACUAACUCAAAGCCUCUACUGCCUCUUAAAAUAGUUUCAGAUCCUGUGAAGGUAAUUUUAAUGAAGCGUAUGGCACUUCAGUUGGCUUAAAUCAUCAGACAGCUCCUGAAAUUAUUUUACUGGAUCCUUUUAUACAGUUUGAAUCACUCUGAAAGUCUCCAGCUGUAAACUGUAGCUUUGUUUUGUAACCAUGUAAAUAAGUGGAAAAUGAACCCUUCAUUUUGUGGUAACAUGAAUGCAGAUGCUUGCUAUAUGCUGCCUGCAGCAUUUAUUCAGUAUUUGCUUUCCUUGGUAUUUUUCGUUCAGUUGCCUUCUCAGGUCUUCUGCUCAAUCCUACCAGCAGCAUCUGUCCUCAUAGGUGUCUCAGCCAGUCAACCUAAUAGACGUAGACUUGCAAGGGAGGAAAUGCUGAAAUUUCUCCUUUGAGGGAACAUGCUUCAGGGAAUGCUACUUGCUGAGAAGCUCACAGACAGCAGUGAGAGCUCACAGAAACUGCUGUUUCUGUGGGGCUGUUUCAUACCAGUGUGGCUUUAGUGAGAUCGUGUGUAAGGGAGGGUUCUUACUUUGUUCAGAUGUUUUUCUUGCUACCUCAAGUCUUGUUAGUGUUGAUAGUGUUUCAGAAAUUCAUGUUUUCUGCACAUUUUCAUAAGGACUCCCUGCUGUUUUGAACUGGAGCCUUUAAUGAAAAUAUUAGGACCAACCUGUGAGGAAUAAAAUACCUAUUCUAUCAAUGGUAGUCCUUUUCAGCACUACUGGUUGCUAGCUUUUUUACUACCUUUUUAAUACCUCCAGCAAUCAUGUGCUUCCACUAAUGAAGUACUUCCUGUAUGGCAUUGUAUCAAAUACUUCUCAAGUAGAUGAGAAGUACCACUUCUCAUUUUGUUUUGCUGUUGUUGUUUUGCUGUUUUUUUUUUUUUUUUCCCUAGGAAAUUACUUUGAAAAUGUCUGUCAGGUUAGACUAAACAAUCUAUCCUUAGACUUACACUAUUUUCUGUUUCGGACUCUGUCUUCAUCUAUUUUUUAUUUUGAGGUCUGUUAUAAAGUUUUGCUUGCAAAUGAGAUUCUCGUGGCUUCUUGGUUCCUUUUUCCUUGCCACCCUUCUGAAAUAAUGAUCCAAUGUCUUCUACACUUCAGUUGGUAUUUUUCCCUGCUGAUUUAAUUAGGAGGAUGUAGAACUGAACCAGCAGUUUUUUAGCUUCUGGAUCUUCCAGAGUCAUAGCAUGGUUACCUGUCUCCUUAUCUGCCCACCCACUCACACAUCUGUAAGUACACUGAGCUUUUGGCUUGUUUCCAAAAUUUGUUUCCACAUCUUUAUUCUCUUUACUCAUCCUGCUAUAAUAAAAGUCUUCAUUAUCAUCCUUACUGCCAACUCAGACAAAGCACUCACUUAGAAUUGAGAUCAUACUUGUAUUAGUUUUUUACACUGUGCCAACUGCAAUAUGCUCCUUCUUUUUCUGCCUUUACCAACUUAUUUAUAUAGCAAAAUAUCCCUUUUCUUUCUUGUCUGUAAUAUAUAGGGAAGUAUAUCUUGGCUUGAUUUUUGAUCAUUUUCACUUAUCCUUGCCCUUCUUGAUCUCUGAUAUUAAGAAGAUUGCAUUCCUUCACUUUUUGUCCUCUUUUCCAUUACUUUUUAGCCUUUCCACUUAUUCUUAGCAUCUUCCUUCAUUCAUCUGCUGGAUCUGAUGCCCCUUAAUGUCAGUCUUCCUAAUUACUGAAAAUAUAAUUUCAGUAUUUAUACCCUAGGCACUUCUGAUCUGGAGGAAUUCCUGAUCUGCUUUAUAGUCAAUUGUCUGAUAUCCUCGAUCCAUCUGAUUUUACUUAUAGGGUUUAUCGAAGCUACGUGUUAUCCUUGUUGAAAUCUCUUGUAGACUUGCUUUCUUUAUAUUUCAGUUAAUUUAAACAGAGACCUCUUGUGAUCUUUCCAUGCAACGUCAUACUCUACAUCCAGAUUUUUUAUAAUGAUCAUACUGCUCACAAAAAUCAAAUAUAGAUUUGUUUUUGUUAUUGCAUUGAGUCACUGAAUAGGUCAGAGUAGCUGAUUUUAUCUGUCAUCUUUAGCUCCUUAAUUGUAUGAUUAAAAAAAAGUUUAGUAUUAUUACUCAUUUCUAACUCAGUUGGACAAAACCUAUCAUUUUGCAAUGAAAUUUUGUAUUUAUUUCUAUAAAGUGGUGAAAUUAAUUUUUUGAUGGAAAAUGGAAGUAAAUAAUGUUAUCUAUUGACUUCAUAUUUGGUGAAAUGUUAUGUGAACUUCAUUCAUUACAGUGAGUACAUGUACUAUCACUUCAUUCUGGAUCAAGUGAUAAUAAUAUGUGCAUGACAAAAAUGGAUGGUGAUUCCUGUACAUUGAGACACUGGUGUGGAUUGUUGCAGUGGUUCACUGUCUGCUGAAGCUUCUGCUAUCUUAAAUAAACAUGAGGAUUUUUCCCUUAAUAUUUUAUGUAUAUUUUUAUGAGGAAUCUUUAAUCCUGAAAUGCAAAGGUAUUUCAGCCUCUAUGUCUCUAUUAAUCUUAGUCCAGACUUCAGCUGUGUUUAUUUAUCCUAACACUCAGAGAUUAUUUCAAGUAGAUGUUUCUUUGGUUCUGAACUACCUUGUCAAACAGAGAGCAUCAACAGAUGAGGACAGCUUUAUCUGCUGUACGCUUAACAGAAUUGCACAGGAAGGUGGAGUCAAAAUAAAGCAAAAUAGCACAGGUGCCAGGUGUAUUUCCCUUUUGUCAGAUUAAUACCUUAAAUACACAGACACCGUAAAUGUAGGUAUCUGAGGUAAUGUUAAACACGGAUUCCUGGAAGGAUAUUUUUUCACAGUAUUCUUUAAAACCAGUGAAGAUUGAAAUAUUUGCAUAGAAGUCAGACACCUGAGGAGAGAUUCAGGGACCAAAGCACUGGCAUGCAUGUUUUAGAUCUUUUUUAUGGUAUCUGAGAUGUGGGCAACAAGAUGGCAGAUGUGAUGAGGGGUUUAUGGGAAACCCACCCUCUUCUAGGGCAGCAGCUGAAAACAAGGCUUAUACAGUGCUCCUACACACCUAGGUUUAAGUACUUGAGUUCCUCUCCAGUAGCUCUCUGGAUACAGGAUUUGCCUUCUGAUGUUUGUCACUGCUCCACUGGAUACUCAUCUGUUGAGUCCAUCUGCGAAAAUGGCUCUGUAUGCAAAAGCUGUGCUUACAAGUUUUUGUUUUUCUGUUGUUUCCUCUCAAGCAAUAAAUGUUUUGGGAAAAAAGAUA
Molecule: long non-coding RNA, 8723 nt
Organism: Gallus gallus (chicken)
Lineage: Eukaryota; Metazoa; Chordata; Aves; Galliformes; Phasianidae
Exons: 2
Source: RefSeq, a predicted model, not a curated record